GACGAACGCUGGCGGCGUGCCUAAUACAUGCAAGUCGAGCGCAGGAAACUGACGGAACUCUUCGGAGGGAAGGCAGUGGAAUGAGCGGCGGACGGGUGAGUAACACGUAAGGAACCUGCCUCAAGGAUUGGGAUAACUCCGAGAGAUCGGAGCUAAUACCGGAUAGUUCAACGGACCGCAUGGUCCGCUGAUGAAAGGCGCUCCGGCGUCACCUUGAGAUGGCCUUGCGGUGCAUUAGCUAGUUGGUGGGGUAACGGCCCACCAAGGCGACGAUGCAUAGCCGACCUGAGAGGGUGAUCGGCCACACUGGGACUGAGACACGGCCCAGACUCCUACGGGAGGCAGCAGUAGGGAAUCUUCCACAAUGGACGAAAGUCUGAUGGAGCAACGCCGCGUGAGUGAUGAAGGUUUUCGGAUCGUAAAACUCUGUUGUAAGGGAAGAACACGUACGAGAGGAGAUGCUCGUACCUUGACGGUACCUUACGAGAAAGCCACGGCUAACUACGUGCCAGCCGCCGCGGUAA
Molecule: ribosomal RNA, 524 nt
Filed under: uncultured bacterium
Lineage: Bacteria
Description: partial 16S ribosomal RNA
Rfam family: Bacterial small subunit ribosomal RNA
Source: RNAcentral